AACGAACGCUGGCGGCAUGCCUAACACAUGCAAGUCGAACGAACCCUUCGGGGUUAGUGGCGCACGGGUGCGUAACGCGUGGGAAUCUGCCCUUUGCUUCGGAAUAACUCAGGGAAACUUGUGCUAAUACCGGAUGAUGUCUUCGGACCAAAGAUUUAUCGGCAAGGGAUGAGCCCGCGUAGGAUUAGGUAGUUGGUGGGGUAAAGGCCUACCAAGCCGACGAUCCUUAGCUGGUCUGAGAGGAUGAUCAGCCACACUGGGACUGAGACACGGCCCAGACUCCUACGGGAGGCAGCAGGGGGGAAUAUUGGACAAUGCGCGCAAGCAUGAGCCAGCAAUGCCGCGUGAGUGAUGAAGGCCCUCGGGUCGUAAAGCUCUUUUACCAGGGAUGAUAAUGACAGAACCUGGAGAAUAAGCUCCGGCUAACUCCGU
RNAcentral lists this ribosomal RNA (432 nucleotides) under uncultured bacterium. Its description in RNAcentral is "partial 16S ribosomal RNA". It matches the Rfam family "Bacterial small subunit ribosomal RNA", at positions 29 to 506 of the family's 1533-position model. The record is from RNAcentral.